RNAcentral lists this ribosomal RNA (570 nucleotides) under uncultured fungus. RNAcentral describes it as "eukaryotic LSU rRNA". It matches the Rfam family "Eukaryotic large subunit ribosomal RNA", at positions 24 to 664 of the family's 3401-position model. The record is from RNAcentral. Lineage: Eukaryota; Fungi.
CCCGCUGAACUUAAGCAUAUCAGUAAGCGGAGGAAAGGAAACUAACAAGGAUUCCCACAGUAACUGCGAGUGAAGUGGGAAGAGCCCAAACUUGUAAUCGGCGGCAAGCUGGCGCCGAGUUGUGGUUUGGAGCCUGGAGGUGCGUGCUGGGGUGCCGCGGCAUAACAUUCUGGAACGUCUGGCCUGAGAGGGUGAAAGCCCCGUCCGGCAGCGGCGCCCAGGCACCCGCGCCAGGCCACGAGUCGGGCUGUUUGGGAUUGCAGUCCAAAGCGGGUGGUAAAUUCCAUCUAAGGCUAAAUACCGACAAGAGACCGAUAGCAAACAAGUACCGUGAGGGAAAAGUGAAAAGUACUUUGAAAAAAGAGUUAAAAGGACGUGAAAUUGCCGGCAGGGAAGCGAUUGGGACGGCAUAGCCGGGCUUGCGUGCUGGGUAGUGUGGGCGCCAUGCCUGCAUUAUCCCGGCGUUUUUAGCCUGGACAAUCGGGCGGCUUUGGCGCGGCACCACUCGUGGCCGCCGCGGCCGAGGCCGCUCUCAAUGCGCCGGCCCAAACGACCCGUCUUGAAACACGG